Drosophila melanogaster (fruit fly) is the source of this 308-nucleotide non-coding RNA. The record is from Ensembl. Lineage: Eukaryota; Metazoa; Arthropoda; Insecta; Diptera; Drosophilidae.
CCAUUUGCAUUAUUUAGGCUGCUUUUUCAAUCGACUUCCCUUUGAGUGACAUAAUAAUUGCCAUUAAUUACGACGUCGCACGAACCCUCAAACGCCUCCAAGCCCCUUCGCCACCCACCACCCAUCACCCAGCACCCACCUCACCCCUCCCCCUUGUGGACCCCAAAUGCCGGACUGUCUGAACCACCGACCUCGUGGACUGACUCACUGUCCAAAUCCGCAUUACCUCCGCGCGCCAGCUGACAUCACUGGCUAAUGAAGUUUGCCCGGUGGCCGCAGAAAGGAAUUGCAAAUGCGGUUCCCAUAUU